Pseudonaja textilis is the source of this 146-nucleotide non-coding RNA. The record is from RefSeq and is a predicted model, not a curated record. NCBI's taxonomy places the organism in Eukaryota, Metazoa, Chordata, Lepidosauria, Squamata, Elapidae.
GCCAGCUGGAUGGAGAGAGAGAGUGCUGUAGCACACAUAUUGCUUGAAUUUCCCAGCCCCAAAAGUGGGAGGAGAGGAAGUCCCACCCGUGGCCCCUUUGUUGGACCCAGAAGUCUUGCCUGCCAGCUUUUUCGGGCAACAUGGGA